CGACAAGCGGAGGAGCAUGUGGUUUAAUUCGAUGAUACGCGAGGAACUUACCUGGGCUCGAACGUAAGAUGACUGUAGGUGAAAGCUUACAUCUCUUCGGAGCAUUUUACGAGGUGCUGCAUGGUUGUCGUCAGCUCGUGCCGUGAGGUGUCGGGUUAAGUCCCAUAACGAGCGCAACCCUACCUUUAGUUGCCAUCAGGUAAUGCUGGGGACUCUAAAGGAACUGCCUACGCAAGUAGUGAGGAAGGCGGGGAUGACGUCAAAUCAGCACGGCCCUUACGUCCAGGGCUACACACGUGCUACAAUGGCCGAUACAGAGGGCAGCUACCUGGUGACAGGAUGCAAAUCUCCAAAGUCGGUCUCAGUUCGGAUCGGAGUCUGCAACCCGACUCCGUGAAGUUGGAUUCGCUAGUAAUCGCGCAUCAGCCAUGGCGCGGUGAAUACGUUCCCGGGCCUU
Molecule: ribosomal RNA, 457 nt
Filed under: uncultured Sphingobacteriales bacterium
Lineage: Bacteria; Pseudomonadati; Bacteroidota; Sphingobacteriia; Sphingobacteriales
Description: bacterial SSU rRNA
Rfam family: Bacterial small subunit ribosomal RNA
Source: RNAcentral